RNAcentral lists this ribosomal RNA (483 nucleotides) under uncultured bacterium. Its description in RNAcentral is "SSU rRNA". It matches the Rfam family "Bacterial small subunit ribosomal RNA", at positions 26 to 518 of the family's 1533-position model. The record is from RNAcentral.
AGCCUGAACGCUGGCGGCGUGGCUAAGACAUGCAAGUCGCACGGAGGUAGCAAUACCUUAGUGGCGAACGGGUGAGUAAUGUAUCGCUAACGUACCCUUUAGUCCGGGAUAGCCAGGGGAAACUCUGGGUAAUACCGGGUGAUAUUCUUCUUCCGCAUGGUUGGAGACUCAAAGGAGCAAUCCGCUGAAAGGGAGCGGGGCUAGGUACUAACGGGUACUCCAAGUACGUAGUUGGUGAGGUAACGGCUCACCAAGGCGACGACGCGUAGCCGGACUGAGAGGUCGGUCGGCCACAUUGGGACUGAGACACUGCCCAGACUCCUACGGGGGCUGCAGUAACGAAUCUUCCGCAAUGCACGCAAGUGUGACGGAGCGACGCCGCGUGUGGGACGAAGUCCUUCGGGAUGUAAACCACUGUCAGGGGUUACCAAGUUCUGAGGAGCCCCAGAGGAAGGCACGGCUAACUCUGUGCCAGCGAGCCGC